GAUGAAGAACGCAGUGAAAUGCGAUACGUAAUGUGAAUUGCAGAAUUCAGUGAAUCAUCGAAUCUUUGAACGCACAUUGCGCCCGCCAGUAUUCUGGCGGGCAUGCCUGUUCGAGCGUCAUUACAACCCUCAGGCCCCCGGGCCUGGCGUUGGGGAUCGGCGGAGCCCCCCGUGGGCACACGCCGUCCCCCAAAUGCAGUGGCGGUCCCGCCGCAGCUUCCAUCGCGUAGUAGCUAACACCUCGCGACUGGAGAGCGGCGCGGCCACGCCGUAAAACACCCAACUCUUCUGAAGUUGACCUCGAAUCAGGUAGGAAUACCCGCUGAACUUAAGCAUAUCAAUAAGCGGAGGA
Molecule: unclassified non-coding RNA, 352 nt
Filed under: soil metagenome
Description: partial contains 5.8S ribosomal RNA, internal transcribed spacer 2, and large subunit ribosomal RNA
Rfam family: 5.8S ribosomal RNA (bases 1-120)
Source: RNAcentral